UACGUAGGGUGCAAGCGUUGUCCGGAAUUAUUGGGCGUAAAGAGCUCGUAGGCGGUUCGUCGCGUCGGCUGUGAAAUCCCGAGGCUCAACCUCGGGUCUGCAGUCGAUACGGGCGGACUGGAGUUCGGCAGGGGAGACUGGAAUUCCUGGUGUAGCGGUGAAAUGCGCAGAUAUCAGGAGGAACACCGGUGGCGAAGGCGGGUCUCUGGGCCGAUACUGACACUGAGGAGCGAAAGCGUGGGGAGCGAACAGG
This 253-nucleotide ribosomal RNA is filed under the name uncultured bacterium. RNAcentral's name for it is "partial 16S ribosomal RNA". It matches the Rfam family "Bacterial small subunit ribosomal RNA", at positions 524 to 776 of the family's 1533-position model. The record is from RNAcentral.